RNAcentral lists this ribosomal RNA (490 nucleotides) under uncultured bacterium. Its description in RNAcentral is "partial 16S ribosomal RNA". It matches the Rfam family "Bacterial small subunit ribosomal RNA", at positions 28 to 507 of the family's 1533-position model. The record is from RNAcentral.
GAUGAACGCUAGCGAUAGGCUUAACACAUGCAAGUCGAGGGGUAACGUGUUGGAAGCUUGCUUCCGAUGACGCCGACCGGCGGAUGGGUGCGUAACGCGUAUGCAACUUGCCUCACAGUGGAGAAUAACCCGGAGAAAUCCGGACUAAUACUCCAUACACUCUUAAGUACGCCUGUACAUGAGAGGAAAGAUUUAUCGCUGUGAGAUAGGCAUGCGUCCUAUUAGGUAGUUGGUGAGGUAACGGCUCACCAAGCCGACGAUAGGUAGGGGUGCUGAGAGGCAGAUCCCCCACAUUGGGACUGAGACACGGCCCAAACUCCUACGGGAGGCAGCAGUGAGGAAUAUUGGUCAAUGGAGGAAACUCUGAACCAGCCAAGUCGCGUGAAGGAAGAAUGUCCUGAGGAUUGUAAACUUCUUUAGCGAGCGAGUAAGGACUUCCACGUGAUGGAGUUUGAAAGUAGCUCGAGAAUAAGUAUCGGCUAACUCCGUG